Molecule: long non-coding RNA, 606 nt
Filed under: Brachypodium distachyon (stiff brome)
Lineage: Eukaryota; Viridiplantae; Streptophyta; Magnoliopsida; Poales; Poaceae
Description: long non-coding RNA (BDIS_LNC002095)
Source: RNAcentral
UUAUCAUUAUUAUAAAAAGUAAGUUAAAAGGGAGAUUGUUGUUUUAGCCUUCGAUGAACUUUUGGAAGGAGGGGAUUGAUGAAGCCCUGUAUGCACUUUCAUUGGUUUACUUAGACCGAGAGUUUAAGCCCUCACUGUUGCCGUUCAUAUCCUUGUGAGAGUCUUCAUUCACUAAUUAAAUGUUCCCAAUUCUUGAUGGGAAUCAAACUGAUGCUGAUUGGUAGAAAGUUGCUUGAAGGCUGACUGGCAACAAAUGUACAUGCAUGUGCCUUCCCAGUCCCCAUCAUCUUUUAUUCUUUUGAGGAAUUCUUCUGCCGAUUGGGAAAUGACUAACACAGAGUUCCUUCCCUCCACUCUAGCCCUUCCAGAGAACCUGCAGCAAGCACAGAGACCAAUUUAGAGCCGCAACAAUCCACGGCCAACACACCAGCAAGCAAAAAAGGACUGAAACGGAAUCAACACCAGCAACCAAGAAGAACGACGGCAAGCUAGAAGAACCAUGAUAUUGACGAACAAGACGAAGCAGCACAGACCCACCACCACCAGAAAAAGGGCCAACGCACCUGAGAACCUUCACAGCCGGCCAGCAAAUGACACAACCUGCCA